AUGACAGUGAAACUGGCCGGACCCUGUGACGUACGGCACCGCUGCAGGUGCGAUCUCCAUUGUUACGACAGCCUUGACCAUUUACUGAACCAAGUAGUAGCACAUGCUACUCCCAGCUUACCAAGAAGCACUACUAAUCACAUCCAAGAUGUGCAUACACGCACCACCUCCCCUGGGUACACAGCUGCCGCAGGAGCGCUCAAGGACAGCUUGUGCACGCGGGCACGGCGGCUCAGUAGAGGCAAGCGAGGACGGAGUCCGGCGCAGCUGGCAGCGAUGAGCCGGGUUUCGCCGGUGCGUGGACACAAUGGCGUGCUACUCGGCCAUCGCGGGACGUGGCGCAAAGAGAGCCGGUCGUGA
This 360-nucleotide ribosomal RNA is filed under the name Triticum aestivum (bread wheat). RNAcentral's name for it is "partial small subunit ribosomal RNA". The record is from RNAcentral. Lineage: Eukaryota; Viridiplantae; Streptophyta; Magnoliopsida; Poales; Poaceae.